AUCUGCCUACACCCACUACCGCACUAUACCCUAUACCAGACAGUAUACUCAAAUACUUCCUUGUAUUGCUGCUUGGUGAUACCCUGGCUGAGGAAAACGCUUAUAAAUCCGUGGAAAUCCCACUAAAUUCGCGAUGUGGGACUAAAGUUUCCACUUUCCAGGUAGAGCUUACCCGUAGCAGCCGGCCGGCGUCUGCUCCCACUCAACCGCGAGUCCCGCUUCCGUCCGCCGUCGAGGAACUCGUGUCCGGCGUGGGGAACGACGGCGACGCGCCGAUGCGGGAGCCCCGCGCUCCUCCUCCUCCUCCUCCCACGGUGGCCGCCGGCGGUCGUCCCCUCCCCUGCUCACUGGCCUCGACUCGAAGUGAUCCUAUCCUACACUCGCGGGAUGGCGCGGCGAGGCUGGAAGGGAGGAAGAAGGAAGGAAUGCGGCGGAGGAGGCUGCACUUCGGCGAGGGAUUUGGGAGAGGAGACGGCCGGAGUUGAGAUUGAUGCACUUUUUUUUUUGAGGUCGAUGCACCUCCGCACUCUAUAACACGGCCGUGCAGGUGGAUGGAUAUGGGCCCAUAGAAAAUACGGGCCGGGUCCUCCCAUUGACGGCCCAGGUUACAUGUCAUGUGUGCUCGCGUGAGCCCGUGACCGUGAACGAGACGGACCAGGACCGCGUCCCUCUUGUAACGGGCGACGGCAGCCGAGAUCCGCGGCGGCGGCGGCGCCCAGCCUCAGCCUCGCCGCCGCGGAGAGCCGGGGCAGAGAGGGGUCGGGGAUGUUAGGAAUGCGGGCGAGCACCGCGGUAGCAUCUCUAUCGCGGAUGGGCACGGAGCCACGGACGCGCACCUCUACGGCGACCCGAACGACGCCGCCAUCCCGACGCUCCUCCGCUCCCGCUUCCACGGCGACAAGUUCGACGCGCUCAACCACCUCCUCGCCCUCAUCUCUCAGGGCGUCGACGUCGCCCACCUCUCCCCGCAGGCAGUCAAGAACGUGGUGGCGCAGUCGCUUGAGCUGAAGAAGCUCGUCUCUUCUACAGCUCUACCUGCUCCACUACGCCGGGAGGUGCUACUGCCAAGGCUGGAUUUGAUUGCAGAAUCCUACACCAGGAGCAGCGUCUGGCCACAACAGUUGUGGACCGGGAAUGCAAGCCGGAUCACCUCCAUGUGGGCUGCUAUUGCAAGUAAACUUUUUUUGGAAGAUUCAAGGACGUUUGACGAGUGACCAAAAGCAUUGAAGACUUUGCAGAGCGAGGCAAGCAACCUACUUUGAUCAUGCUCAAUCCAUAUUUGCACACACUUAGAAUUAUUUUUCAUGCAUAAAAUAUUGUUUACUAGUAUUGAUAUGCUAAGUAAAUUAGCUUGGGCUUAACUGUGCCCUAUGUUCCUGAUAUUGCCGCACCUCUUUGACAUUCUCAAUUCCCAACUUUCUAACAAUAGUACUACAAAUACCAACUGGUUACCAAUAAAUGUGGUCAUAGGUGCAAAUUUAAUAGUUAUGCUUAGGCAUGCUAGUCACAUAAAUCAUAGGCUUGGGAAGAAUCUUUGUUACUCAUAACAAAAACCUAAGGGUGCCACUAAUGCCCAUCGGAUAAUUAUGAAAAUAAGGUUUUACAAAAUGGAGAUGAAGUGGAGAUGUUUUUAAAAAGGCAUAGUGCAAGUGCUGCAAGUCAUAUCAACCUUACAUGUGCAAGCACAUUACCCUAUAUGGGACGAGGCUAGACGAAGUACAUUGGUGGAUUAUGAGAUUUUAGAUCUGUUGGUGAUCAUGAUGAUUAUUACAUUGGUGGAUAAACCAUAAUUAAUUAAUCUUGAAACUAUUUGGAUUUAAUUAGGUGAUUGUGAAUUUAAACAAAAUUUCAUGAUGGGUUAUGGAAUUCUAGGUGGAUUUACUUAGGUGAUUGUGAUCUUGAAGAGAUAGUCAAAGAUUUUGGUGGAAUAUAAAAUUUUAGGUGUAGUUGAUGUGCAUGAUGAUUAUUAUAUUGGUGGACAAACAAAUUUUUAAUUUUUGUUGUAACAAUUUGGGUUUAGUUAUGUGAUCGUGAUAUUGAACCGAAUUUUAUGGUGGAUUAUGAUAUUUUAGAUGGAUUUAGUUAUAUUUUUCGGCGGAUUACGAGAUUUUAGGUCUAGUUGAUGAGCAUGAUGAUGAUUAUUGUAUUGGUGGAUAAAUCGAUCUUUAAUUUAUUUUGGAACAAUUUGGAUUUAGUUAGGUGAUUGUGAUCUUUACCCAAAUUUCACGGUGGAUUAUGUGAUUUUAGAUGGAUUUAGUUAGGUGAUUGUGAUUAUAAGGAGAUAGACAAAGAUGCUCGGUGGAUUAUGACGUAUUAGGUCUGAUUGGUGAUCAUGUUGAAGCAAAUUUCAUGGUAGAUGAGAUUUUAGAUGGAUUUAGCUAGCUGUCUGUGAUCUUGAGGAAAUAUUUAAAUAUGCUUAGUGGAUUAUGACAUUUUAGGUCUGGUAGGUGAUCAUGAUGAUUAUUAUAUUGGUGGAUAAGCACAUCAUUAAUUAAUCUUGAAACCAUUGUUGACAAAAUUGUUAACUAGUAGUUGCUCGGUUGGCUGGCGAGUAGCGGAUUAAUAGGCUGGUCGGCAAGUUAAUCCAUAAUCAGACGAUUUAUUAGUUUAUCGGCUACUCGGUGACCCUAUGAGUAGGGAUUAAUCGAUCAGUUAACUGGUUAAUCCGGAGAAUUCUUGAACUGGGCCUGAAACAAUUUAGAUUUAGUAAGGUGAUUGUGAUUUUGAACCAAAUCUCAGGGUAGAUUAUGAGAUUUUUGUGGAUUUGGUUAGGCGAUUGUGAUCUUGAAGAGAUAGUCAAAUAUACUCGGUGGAUUAUAAGAUUUUAGGCCUAUUUGAUGAGCAUGAUGAUUAUUAUAUUGGUGGGUAAAUAGAUUUUCAGUUUACCUUGGAACAAUUUGGAUUUGAUUAGAUGAUUAUAAGAUUAUAGGUGGAUUUAGUAAGGUGAUUAUAAUCUUGACUCAAAUUUUAUGGUCGAUUAUGAUAUUUUAGAUGGAUUUAGUUAGGUCGUUAUGAUCAUGAGGAGAUAGUCUAGAUGCUCGGUGGAUUAUGAGAUUUUAGGUUUGUUGGUGAUCAUGAUGAUUAUUAUAUUUGUGGAUAAACAAUCAUUAAUUUAUCUUAGGAGUUAUUUGGAUUUAGUUAGGUGAUUGUGAUUUUAAACUAAAUUUCACGAUGGAUUAUGACAUUAUAGGUGGAUUUAGUUAGGUGAUUGUGAUCUUGAAGAGAUAGUCAAAGAUUUCAGUGGAUUAUAAGAUUUUAAGCGUAGUUGAUGUGCAUGAUGAUUAUUAUAUUGGUGGAUAAACAGAUUUAGUUACGUGAUUGUGAUGUUGAAUCGAAUUUCAUGUUGAACUAUGAUGUUUUAGAUGGAUUUAGUUAGAUGAUUGUGAUCUUGAGGAGUAGUCAAAAGUUGUUCGGUGGAUUACGAGAUUUUAGAUCUAGUUGAUGAGCAUGAUGAUUAUUGUAUUGGUGGAUAAUAGAUCUUUAAUUUAUUUUGGAACAACUUGGAUUUAGUUAGGUGAUUGAGAUCUUUACCCAAAUUUCACGGUGGAUUAUGAGAUUUUAGACAGAUUUAGUUAGGUGAUUGUGAUUUUAAGGAGAUUGUCAAAGAUGCUCGGUGCAUUAUGAAGUUUUAGGUCUUAUUGGUGAACAUGUUGAAGCAAAUUUCAUGGUAGAUGGGAUUUUAGAUGGAUCUAGCUAGGUGAUUGCGAUCUUGAGGAAAUAGUUAAAUAUGCUCGAUGGAUUAUGACAUUCUAGGUCUGGUAGGUGAUCAAGAUGAUUAUUAUAUUGGUGGAUAAGCACAUCAUUAAUUAAUCUUGAAACGUUUGUUGAGAAAAUCGUUAAGGGGUAGCUGCUCGGUUGACUGUCGAGUACGGGAUUAAUAGGCUAAUCGGCAAGUUAAUCUAUUAAUCGGACGAUUUAUUAGUUUAUCGGGUACUCGGUGACCCUACGAGUAGGGGUUAAUUGGUCAGUUAACUGGUUAAUCUGAUGAAUUCUUGAAUAGGGCCUAAAAUAAUUUGGAUUUAGUUACGAGAUUCUUAUUUUGAAUCAAAUUUCACGAUUGAUUAUGAGAUUUUUGGUGGAUUUCGUUAGGUGAUUGUGACCUUGAAAAGAUAGUCUAGUAUGUUUAGUGGAUUAUAAGAUUUUAGUCCCAUUUGAUGAGCAUGAUGAUUAUUAUAUUGGUGGGUAAACAUAUUUUUAAUUAUCUUGAAUCAAUUUGGAUUUAGUUAGGCGAUUAUAAGAUUUUAGGUGGAUUUUGUUAGGUGAUUGUGAUCUUGAGGAGAUAGUCAAAGAUGUUCGGUGGAUUAUUAGAUUAUAGGCCUAGUUGAUGAGCAUGAUGAUUAUUAUAUUGGUGGAUAAACUGAUCUUUAAUUUAUUGUGAAAAUUUUGGAUAUAAUUAGGUGAUUGUGAUUUGCCCCAAAUUUUAUGGUGGAUUAUGAGAUUUUAGAUGGAUUUAGUUAUGUGGUUAUGAUCUUGAGAAGAUAGCCUAAGAUGCUCGGUGGAUUAUGAGAUUUUAGGUUUGUUGGUGAUCAUGAUGAUUAUUAUAUUGGUGGAUAAACAAUCAUUAAUUGGAGUUAUUUGGAUUUAGUUAAGUGAUUGUGCUUUUAAACAAUAUUUAACGAUGGAUUUUGAGAUUCUAGGUGGAUUUAACUAUAUGAUUGUAAUCUUGAAUUUAGUUAUGUUGGAACAAUUUGGAUUUAGUUAUGUGAUUGUGACAUUGAACCGAAUUUUAUGGUGGAUUAUGAUAUUUUAAAUGGAUUUAGUUGUGAUAUUGAGGAGUAGUCAAAGUUGUUCGAUGGAUUACGAGAUUUUAGAUCUAGUUGAUGAGCAUGAUGAUUAUUGUAUUGGUGGAUAACUUGAUCUUUAAUUUAUUUUGGAACAAUUUGGAUUUAGUUAGGUGAUUAUGAUCAUUACCCAAAUUUCACGUUGGACUAUGGGAUUUUAGAUGGAUUGGUUAGGUGAUUGUGAUUUUAAGAAGAUAGUCAAAGAUUCUUGGUGGAUUAUAAUAUUUUAGGUCUUAUUGGUGAUCUCGUUAAAGCAAAUUUCAUAUGGUAGAUGAGAUUUUAGAUGGACUUAGUUAGGUGAUUGUGAUCUUGAGGAAAUAGUCAAAUAUGCUUGGUGGAUUAUGACAUUCUUGGUCUGAUAGGUGAUCAUGAUGAUUAUUAUAUUGGUGGAUAAGCACAUCAUUAAUUAAUCUUGAAACCAAUGUUGAGAAAAUUGUUAACUGGUAGCUGCCCGGUUGGCUGGCGAGUACGGGAUUAAUAGGCUAAUCGACAAGUUAAUUGGCUAUUCGGGGACCCUACGAGUAGGGAUUAAUCGGCCAGUUAACUGGUUAAUUGGACGAAUUCUUGAACAGGGCCUGAAACAAUUUGGAUUUAGUUGGGCGAGUCUUAUUUUGAACCAAAUUUCAUGAUUGAUUAUGAUAUUUUGAUGGAUUUAGUUAGGUGAUUGUGAUCUUGAAAAGAUAGUCAAAUAUGUUCAGUCGGUUAUAAGAUUUUAGGCCCAUCUGAUGAGCAUGAUGAUUGUUAUAUUGGUGGGAAAAUAGAUUUUAAUUUAUUUGGAACAAUUUGGAUUUAGGCUGGUGGUUAUAAGAUUUUAGGUGGAUUUAGUUAGGUGAUUGUGAUAUUGAGGAGAUAGUUAGAGAUGUCCGGUGGAUUAUGAGAUUAUAGACCUAGUUGAUGAGCAUGAUGAUUAUUAUAUUGAUGGAUAAACAUAUCUUGGAAAAUUUGGAUUUAAUUAGGUGAUUGUGAUCUUAACCCAAAUUUCAUGGUGGAUUAUGAGAUUUGAGAUGGAUUAGUUAGGUGGUUAUGAUCUUGAGAAGAUAGUCUAAGAUGCUUGGUGGAUUAUAACAUUUUAGUCGGAUUUAGUUAGGUGAUUGUGAUUAUAAGGAGAAAGUCAAAUAUGCUCGGUGGAUUAGGAGAUUUUAGGUGUGAUUGGUGAUCAUCUUGAAGUAAAUUUCACGGUAGAUGAGAUUUUAGGUGGAUUUAGUUAGGUGAUUGUAAUCUUGAGGAGAUAGUCAAAUGUGCUCGAUGGAUUAUAACAGUCGGUGAUCAUCAUGAUUAUUAUAUUGGUGGAUAAGCACAUCAUUAAUUAAUCUUGAAGCAAUUUGGAUUUAGUUAGAUGAUUGUCAUUCUGAACCAAAUUUCAUGGUGGAUUAUGAGAUUUUACAUGGAUUUAAUUAGGUGAUUGUUAUCUUGAAGAGAUAAUCAAAUAUGUUCGGUGUAUUAUAAGAUUUUAGGUCUAGUUGAUGAGCAUGAUGAUUAUUAUAUUGGUGGAUAAAUAGAUUUUCAAUUUUUCUUGUAACUAUUUUGAUUUAGUUAGGUGAUUAUGAUUAGAAGAUUUUUGGUGAAUUUAGUUAGAUGAUUGUGAUCUUGAGGAGAUAGUCAAAGAUGUUUGGUGGAUUAAUGGAUUAUAGGCCUAGUUGAUGAGCAUGAUGAUUAUUAUAUUGGUGGAUAAACAUAUCUUUAAUUUAUCUUGGAAAAUUUGGAUUUAGUUAGGUGAUUGUGAUCUUGACCCAAAUUUCAUGGUGGAUUAUGUAAUUUUAGAUGGAUUUUGUUAGGUGGUUGUGAUCUUGAGAAGAUAGUUUAAGAUGCUCGAUGGAUUAUGAGAUUUUAGGUCUGUUGGUGUUCAUGAUGAUUAUUAUAUUGAUUGAUACACAUCAUUAAUUAAUCUUGAAACUAUUUGGAUUUAGUUAGGUGAUUGUGACUUUAAACUAAAUUUCACGGUGAAUUAUGAGAUUGUAGGUGGAUAUUCGGGGGAUUAUAAGAUUUUAGAUGGUUCUUAUAUUGGUGGAUAAACAUAUUUUAAAUUUAUCUUGGAACAAUUUGGAUUUAGUUAGGUGAUUGUGACAUUGAACCGAAUUUCAUGGUGGAUUAUGAGAUUUUAGGUAGAUUUAGUUAGAAGAGUGUGAUCUUGAGGAGGUAGUCAAAAGUUGUUCGGUGGAUUAUGAGAUUUUAGGUCUAGUUGAUGAGCAUGAUGAUUAUUGUAUUGGUGGAUAAACAGAUCUUUAAUUUAUUUUGGAACAAUUUGAUUUGGUUAGGUGAUUGUGAUCUUGAAGAGAUAGUCAAACAUGUUCGAUGGAGUAUGAGCGCUUUAGAGAGUUGAAGAAAAGGUUUAUGAAAAGUUACCAGUCUUUGAGUUUAAGAAAAGGAUAUAGUAAAAAAAUGUGCGAUGGAUUAUAUUGGUGGAUAUUAUUUAUGGAUGGAUUUCGAGCAUUACCGAUUACUUGAGUUAUGAAGAAAGAUACUCCCUUCGUUUCAUAAUGUAGUGCAUAUAAAUUUUCUGAAAAGUCAAACUUAGCAAACUUUGACCAAGUUUAAGAAAAAAACUAUCUAUAUCUACAAUACUAAAUAUGUAUAAUAUGAAAUUUUAACUCACGAUGUAUACGAUGAUAUGUAUUUGGUAUUCUAAAUAAAAAUGUUUUUUUCUUUAAUUAUGGUCAAAUUUUGCAAAGUUUUUUUUCGAGAAAACGCAAAAUAGUCUUUGCGUUUCAUUUCAUUGAAAAGAAGAGAAGGUACAGUCCUCCUAGGAGGUGGGGGUUACAUGGGCUAGCACCCUAUCAGUGAACAUCCCAGUCAGUGGGAAGGACUACCCUGAGGCCCAUAGCGCUGGCUUGUGCCCAACAUUUGGCUUCGGCCUUAAUCCUAUUUACGAGUGUGUUAACCGAGGGUCGAGCGUUCUCGAAGACAUACUCAUUCCACUGCUUCCAGAUCAUCCAAGGAACUAGCAUGACAAUAGAUUGCAGGCCUUUCCGUAGCGCAUGUGGGGUCUGCCCUUUCGUUCGCUACCACCAGUCCGUAAGGUUGGGCUCGUUGUUCGGCGGCUGUGAAGGUAUCCUCGCCCAGCCAAGGACAUCGUGCCACAUUGUCUCUAGGGCCUAAUCGCAAAGGAGGCAUCGUGGGUGGUGCUGUAGGCCACGACGGGCGAGUCGUUCUGCCGUCCAACACCGGUUUCUGGCUAGCCACCCAGUGAAAGAAUCGGACGCGGCGCGGCACCCAGCUCUUCCAGGUAAGCUUCCAGGAGGGGCAUUUCGUGGACCCGUGGAAGGUUGCAGCGUAGCAGGACUAUGCCGUGUAGGUGCCACUUGCAGUCCAUCUCCAUAUCAUUCGGUCAGGCAUGUGUGUUAAGCUGAUCUGCUGCACGGCCUGCCAUAGCAUCAGGUAUUGGCCAAUCUCAUGAAUCCCGAGCACUCCUUGAAUGUCACGAGCCCAAGCGUUGCACGCAAGGCCUGCGGCCACCGUUCUUGAUUUGCGUCGCCGUUUGGGUAUGCACUGGUAGAGUGUCGGUGCGAGUUCACGCACGGACUGACCGUUGAGCCAUCUGUCAUCCCAAAGCAGUGUCGUCAAUCCAUCGCCAAGCGCCAUGGUCGUCGAUGCGAAGAACAACGUGCGCUUCUCGCGGGAAAAUUGGAGGUCGAGCCCAUGCCAUGCGCGGUAGGCGUCCGUGUGGGAGAACCACAGCCAGCGCAGGCGCAACGCGAGGCCAGCGCGCUCCAGGUCCUGGACCCCCAGCCCGCCGUACUCAAGCGGACGGCACACACGGCGCCAGUUGACGUGACAGUGUCCGCCGUUAGCAGCAGCGCGCCCAGCCCACAAGAAGCCGCACUGGAUCUUUUCGAGCUGCCUCAGGGUCUUCUUGGGUGGCGCAAACGCGGGCAGUUUAUGUAUCGGGAUUGCGGCGAGCACCGAUUUGACCAAAACCAGCCGCCCGGUUUUGUUCAUGAGCCAAGCUUUCCAAGUGGGGAGCUGGGCGGCCACCGAGUCGACGAGGGGUUGUAGUUGGGCGGCAGAGAGGCAGCGUAGCGUGAGCGGGAUCCCGAGAUAAGUAAUGGGCAGCUUCGCUUUCGCACAUCCCACCUGAGCAAUUAUAGCAUCCGCCUCGGGGUCACCAUUGAGGGUAGUAGCAGAACUCGUGGUAUAGUUCACUCGGAGGUCGCUUGCUUCACUAAACAGGUUCAGGAUCCCACGGACGGCCUCCACGUCGCCUUGCGUGGUAUGGCAGAAGAGCAUCACGUCAUCGGCGUACAAAGAUAUGGCCGGAAUGUCACGUCGGGGGUGCAGCCGCUCUAGGAUGCCGGCGUCGUGGGCGCGGCUGAUCAGGCGCCCAAGGAUGUCCACGGCGAGCACGAAGAGCUGCGAUGAUACGGAGUCGCCCUGACGCAGCCCGCAGCUGUGCCAAAUUGGCAGUCCCGGCUCACCAUUGAUCAUGAUUUGAGUGCUCGAUGAUGAUAGCAAGAUCGCAAGCCAUUCCCUGAAGCGAGGUCUGAAUCCGUACUCGCCAAGAACCUCAAAGAGGAAGGGCCAAGAUAGGGAGUCGAAGGCUCGCGUUAGGUCAAGCUUGAGCAUCACUCUCAGGACUCCUAGUUGGUGCAGCAGCUUCAUCGAUUGCUUGACGAGGGCAAAGUUGUCGUGCAGGCUCCGUCCCGGGAUGAAAGCGUUUUGGUUGCGGCUAACCAUAUCUCCCAAUCUGGGUGCGAGGCGGAGCGAUAGCACCUUCUCGAAGAUCUUCGCCACGAGGUGAAUGAGGCAUAUUGGCCGGUAGUCGCGGAGCUGGCAGGCGUCUGCACGCUUCGGGAGCAAUGUCAAGAGGGCUUGGUUGAGCUUGCUGAAGCCGCGACCGCGCAACUCAAAAAGUUGCUGGAAAACGUCGACGAAGUCUUGUUUAACAAUGCUCCAGCAGGCCCGUAGGAAUUCCGCGGUAAAGCCAUCCGGUCCUGGCGCUUUACGGGCCGAGAGGCGCUUGACGGCAUCCCAAAUCUCCUCCGGGCUAAAUGGUGCCUCGAGGUCGGUCAGGUCAUGCGGCUUGAUGAGCUACGAUAGGUCCAGUGCGUGGUUGCGGGCGACGGAGGAGCCAAGUAGCUCGUCAAAGUGCAUGAAGGCCGCUUGGGCCAUUCCCUCCUGGUCAGUGAUCGCGUGUCCUUAGACCACGAGGCUGAAUAUGUGGUUCUUCUGUCGGCGGAAUGAGCAUUGCCGAUGGAAGAAGGUCAUGUUAGCGUCACCGUCCUUGAGCGUGGUGAUCCGCGCUCGCUGCCUCGCGAUCGUGCGCUCGAUAGAAGCCAGCCCCAAGUAUGAGAUCUUGAGCUGUUUUCACAGCCAAUCCUCUCGGCGAUAGGGUAGGUGAGGGUCCUGAUGGUGGGCUUGUCGGAGCUCAGGCGUGCAGGGAUCUGCUCAACAAUCUCCAGAACGGCGGCGUGAUGGAUGUUGUCGGGGUGGUGUGUGCGCGCGGCCAGCUUGAACGUCGCAAGAUUGGCCCUGGAGCACGUCCUGGGAUGGAGGCGUUCGAUCCAGCAGCUCGUACCCAGGACAUGCUCGGCGCUGGACAGGUGCCAAGCCUGUGCCGGAACGCUGCGGAGCUCCAGCUCAACGUAGUACUCAAGCUCGCCGGAGCCAGCAUGGGCGAGCUUACUCCAUGGUCUGAGGGAGAGCGAGAACCGCGGCAAGUUGAUGAAGUGCUCUCCGUUGAGGCGGCGCUUGGUGGUGUGGGAGCUGAAGAGGAUCAAGAAAUCCUCGGGAUGGUGUUCGUGCACGGUGAAGUCGUCGUCGUCCAGCUCGAACGUGUUGAUGAGCACGUCGGAGACCUCUGUGCCGGAUACACGUGGUCGGUUGCCGGUGAUGGAGGCGACCAUUUCGCGGCUUAGGACCUCCUCAGCCUCCUCCAUCUCGACGGAGUGUGCCAUGAUCACCCGCAUGGGCUCGGGCUCCGACGUGCGAGGGGGGGGGGCAACGACUAGGGCGGUCGCCUGCGGCAGGGGUGGCGGCGGAGGUGCGGCCUGGCGCAUGGCGGCGUCCAUGGCAGAGGGGCCAACGCGGUUGUUGGUGGUGCGGGCACGUCCAGCGGCGUCGUGGCGCCUGCUUCCGCAGGAGCGUGAGUCGUGGCCAGACUCGAGGCAUCGGCGGCAGCGGAUGUCGUUGGGGCAGUCCCGAACCCAAUGACGAUGGCCAAGGCAGCGGAAGCAGAGCCCCGCGACCUUCUCUGGCGAUGGGCUGCACCAGCGCAGCGGCGGAGGGCUUGGCCCGACCGGAGUGCGCGGGCGGCUUCUGCGGUGCCUGCAUCGUGGCUGCUGGAAGCCGUCAGCAUCGACGUGAACCCCGCCGGAGACGCGGUGCACCUCGGAACGGGGGCCGAGGCGGGUCGAGGCGGGCUGCCGAGGGGGCGUCGGGGCCGGCGGGGUCCGGGCGACGUUGCUGUAGGAACGUGGCGAGGGCUCGCUCUCCAAGUCGAACACGCUGCCACCAGAGGACACGCAGUCGCCGUCGGAGAGGGUCGCUCGGCGCCCAGCAGGGUCAGCACCGGAAGACGCCAUGGCGGGGGCUGAGGAGGCUGGGGAAGGGGCUCGGGGUUGGGUGAAGGGCCGCCGACGAGGAUUCAAUGGCAGCCGGGCUAGAGGUGGGAGAGAGCUAGGUGGGGGUGGGAGCGGAGCAUGCUCACCAAGCUCCACACGUCGUCCUGUAAACACCAAACCUGGCUCUUCUUUUGCAAAGUUUUGACUUUUGAAAAAAAUCUAUACGCACUACAUUAUGGAACUAAGGGAGUAAGAAGUUUGAAUGGACGUCCAAGUGUCAAGAGAGCUUUCGAGAGUUCAAGAAAAGGUUAACUGCCGCUUCGUUCGUAGCCACCGCCGGAGUUUUGAAGUUACUGUGAGGCAUCUAAGCAUGGACUUCUUUUUGUCUUGAUGUAAGAAGGAAGAGUCGUAGCCUAUCUAUCAAGGCAACAUCGUCCUCAUGAUGAGAAUUACCCUAACAAUGAUUUGGGUCUAGUAGCAGUAGUGCAUGCUCUUAAGACAUGGCAUUAGUACUUCAUAGGUAAUCUCUUCAAGAUCUACACGGAAUGCAAUAGCUUUACGUUUGUCUUCUGCCAGAUGGACUUGACCACUAUGACUUUGGUAUCUAUUACCAUCUUGAUAAGGCUAAUGUCGCCGUGGAUACCAUCAACAGGAAGCCAUGUCCCUGCUAUACCUUGACCAAGCAAAGCAACCAGUGCUACAUUAAGGCUUCGAGAAAUUUGGCGUAGAGCUAGUCAGUAGUGUCCAUCUCGCAAACUUUGAGAUUAGACCCACUUGAAUAAAGAAGAAUAGAAGAAAUCAAGAAAAUGAUCAAGUAAGGCAGAGCCCUGGAUUCUCAAAAGACGGCCACAGAGUUCUUUGGUUUGGAGGUCGCAUCUGCGUACCUAACCAAAAAGGUAUGAAGAAGUGGAAUCUACCAGAAACUCGUGGCACCACUUUAUUCCAUCCACAUAGGGAGUACCCAAGUUAUACCAGGACCUCAAGAAGGAGUUCUUGGUUGGACAGAAUGGAGUUUUAUAUAGCCCCCCUACUUACCAAUGUCAAGUCAAGGCCAUGAUUCUAUUUGGGUCAUAAUUGACCAUUUGCCUAAGCUUGUCAUCCUCCCAUUAAGACUUCACACCAAACAUUUGCGAGCCGACUGGCUGAUAACAACCUCUUCCAGAUUUUAACUCUCCAUGAAGUUCUCAAGAAGGUUGUUACAGGUAUCGAGUUUACCUUCAGACCUUGGAGAUACCCAAGAAGCUAUGGUAAUCAAAUAUUUCAUCAAACCCGACCUCUGCUAAGACAACCACCGAGGUGUCGACCCCCACACCUAUCCAACUUACAUGAGAUCUCGACUUCUUGUCCUUGCUAAAGCUAUAUGUCAGAAGCUGCAUCAUCGAGUACCUCUGUUAUUAAGGAGAUAGUUGAAGCUGUUUGAUGGAUUAUGAGAUUUUCGGUCUAGUAGGUGAGUAUGGUGAUUAUUAUAUUGGUGGAUAAAAUAAUCAUUAAUUAAUCUUGGAAUAAUUUGGAUUUGGUUAGGGUGAACCAAAUUUCAUUAUGGAUUAUGAGGUUUUAGGUGGAUUUAGUUAUGUGAUUAUUAUCUUGAGGAGAUGGUCAAAUAAGUUCGAUGGAUUAUGAGAAUUUAUGUCUAGCAGAUGAGCAUGAUGAUUAUUAUAUUGGUGGAUAAACAAUUUUUUAAUUAAUCUUGGAACAAUUUGGAUUUAGUUAGGUGAUUGUGAUCUUGAACCAAUUUUCAUGAUGGAUUAUGAAAGAUGAAACAGAAUCUUCAACAACCAAAAUGGAUGUUAAAAAGCACAUAUAUUUUUAUGAUAAAGGGUGACGAUGUCCCAACCUAGGGAUCUCUCACCACGUCGGUUCCCAGCCUCGUGGGCUUGGCUGAGGACCCCUAGGUCGGUUCCGCCUGGGGCCACGUUGGCGGCCCAUAACUAUUAUACGGAAGACUCUAGAAACUUGUAGUACAAGCCGAAGAUGCCAGAGCCCGGGGGCCCCUACCUCCACUGAUGUAGCCAACUAGGAUCUGUAACCCUAGGACCGGGCUCAUCGAUAGAACAUAAUAUAAUCCCUUGGUGUUCACUUGUACUUUGUACACACCCCAAUCGCAAUAUACAAGAGCAGGAGUUGGGUAUUACCUCGAUCAUGAAGGCCUGAACCUGGGUAAAAGCUCGCCUCCUCUUACCCAGCCUAAUCGCCUAGCCGGGAUACUCUAAUCUGCGGAAAUUGUCUCCGAUAGUGGUGGCCCAUGCCGGCCCGCUAGGUGAACUCAGAGGCUUGAUGGGUGUUCAAAAUGAAUCCAGCGCAAUCUAUGUGCCAGGACACAGCGGCGCACCGGCAAAAAACUUAUGCCUGGUCCACGAGCCAGAUCACAACUUCUGGCGAUCUGGCCAGCACGGCCUCCCGGCGUAUUGACAAGUCCAAGUCCCGUCACCAAGAUUGCCAUCGGCCUCUGACCGGCGAGGGGGCUGCUCAGACGAUUUACCAGCCCAAUUCUGCUUGGGGGCACGCCACACGGCCCGAUGUACCACACGGUUCGCCUCGUACGAGACCUUAGAGAGAUAUCAACUUGGCUGCGUGUCCAAGCUGUGGACAGACACCGGCCAGCCUUCAGCAAGAAUGAUCAGGCAGCCGGCCUAAACGAUGCAUGUUAUACCAUAGAAGCCAUCUGAUCAGCAACGGCGGGUCCAUCUAUGAUGUAUCCGCCCUGCUUCUCGGAUAAGAUCAUUGUUCGUCCCUUCCUGUCAAACUUCAAGAUCACCAAUGGUGACAAGUACGAUGGUGACACGGAUCCCGCGAUUUGGAUCUCGGAUUGCAUCUUUGCAAUCCAGGUUGCUAACGGCGAUGACUACCAUGUAGUGAAGCAUCUUCCCCUCAUGCUGAAAGGACUAGCACGAGCUUGGCUUCCCACCCUCCCUUCGGGUUGAUCAGAAGCUUGGAGGACCUUCGGGUUGAGUUCAUGGCAAACUUCUGAGGUACAUAUGUCCAGCCUGCUGAUGCCAGCGACCUGAGCAUCAUGAAGCAAGGGAAGAAUGAGUCAGUACGUAGCUGCUAGACUGAUUCUUGGAAAAGAAAAACGAGAUUGUUGACUGCAACGAUGUCGAGGCCACCGCUACUUUUAAGCACGACUCCAAUGAUGAGUUCCUCUCCUGGGACUUCUGUCACUUCAAAGCCAAGAUCAUGCUAGAUCUCAUGGAGAUGAUGACUAGAUUUUGCGCUGGUGAGGACACAUGGCUCGCCAAAAAAAUGGUCGUGGAGAAGACCCCCGGGCCGUCCGAUACGAAGGACGGGAACGGGAAGUCUAGGCGCAACCGCGGGAACAAGUGUCAGGCUGGCGGUGGAGAGGUUGUUUCAAGGAAAGAAAGGCGAGGGCAGCAACUCGACCCUGGAUAAGAUCCUAGAUCGACCCUGCAACACCCAUGGUCCGAAGAAUGACGGUGACCCUCCUGCAACCCACACAAACCAGAACCGUUGGGUCCACAAGAAGGCCGUGCAGUCCAGCAAGGGCAAUGCCGACAAGCCAAAUCCUUGCAAUAAUGAUGACGAGGACAACCCGCAGCCCGGAAAAGGCAACGGGCGGUCAGAAGCAGUUCCCACUGCAAUAAAGUAUCUGAAUAUGAUUUAUCCAUCUCACACCUCAAAAAAAGAGUGAAAGUGCGCCCUCCGCGAGGUAUAUGCCGUGGAGUUCGCUGAGCCGAAGCACAACCCUUUUUCAGAAAUUCUGAUCACCUUUGAUCUACGUGACCAUCGGACCAUCAUCCCCUAUGGUGGAACUGCCGCACUCAUUCUGGACCCAAUUGUUGAUGGUUUCCACCUUACCAAGGUCCUGAUGGACGGCGGCGGCAGCUUGAACCUCAUCUAUGCCGAAAUAUUGAAGAAGAUGCAGUUCGACGAGUGGCGCAUUGAGACAAUCACGACCCAGCUCAAGGGUAUCAUCCUAGGCAUGGAGGCCCGUUGCAUCGAAAGGGUCACCCUUCAGAAGCGGCUACCACACCCUCCUAGGUCGGACCUCAAUUCAGCUUUGUACCACACUAUGCUUGCUUGAAUCUCAAGAUGUCGGGCCCUAACAGUGUCAUCACCAUCUACGGGAACAUCGAGCGGUCUUUGAAGACUGAGUAGACCAGUUGGCCCUAGGCAGCCGAGGCAGUUGCUGGAGCCCUGACAGUUGAGGAGCUUGCCGACAUGCGGUCCAAGGACGACAUUAUACUCACCAAGCGCACCAAGUCGAUGUCAUUCCUGCCGACCAGGAGAUCCAAAAGUUCCAAGUGCACUCCGAGGAUCCGACCAAGACGGCCUUGAUGGUAUGGUCGUAUGGUCGGGGGAGGGGAGGGGGGCGCUUUUAUUAACUCAAAAUGUUUCAUCAAGCAGAUACAAUCACAUUGAGCGACACUCGGCCUUUGCAUAGAUAGGAUACAAACAAGUUUGAGAAAGAGAGUAAAUAACUAAAACGACAUAUUGGCAAACUUCUGAGGUAAAUAAGUAGCAUGUGCAUUACUCCGCCUAUGUCUUCUAGGCAUAGCCGGUCCCAAGCCCGGGUAAAGGAGGAGGGUUGUGAUAGGCUUGGCGAGCCAACGUAAAAACUAGCCAGUCCCAUAGGUAUGAAACCCAUUUGAGCAAGAGUAGUACUAGGAUGGGCGACCUCCUGGGAAGUCCUUGUGAAAGGGUUUCAUAUCUAGCCUACCCCAACUUGUUUGGGAUAAAAGGCUUCGUAAGUGUAAGUGACAUAUUGGCAGCGGUAAAAUGCUCAUUGAUAUAAAUGAAAAGCAGAGCCAACGUCAAAGGCCCAUGUAUAUGUUGCUACAUAGCCCAAGCCAUUGAAAACCGUUGACUUGUAGCAAAUCGCAUUGGAGAAGAGGCCAAGACAGGUUUUAGAACUAAAGAAACAACUUUUAUAGUAACUAAUGAAGAAAUAUAAAUAGGUAUAUACAAGUCAGAAUCAACAGCUUCUUUGUUUUGCUUCAUCUUAUCUCUACUGAACUUGAUAGCAUGAUGCAGUGAUGUUGCAGCCUCCCUCAUGAGCAGUAUCAUAUGUAUAUUUGAUCAAUACAAAAGUAAUUUGAGAUAGUUAUAACUACAGAAAAUCUCCUGGCUACUUAGCUAAAGGUUCACUGUGCUAUCUUUUAAAAGUGAGGAUUUUGUUCAUGAUCUCAGCAAAGUAAAUAAAUACAGUAACAAAACAAAUCAUUUUUGUGGUCACUGGUCACUAAUAACACCAAAAGAAGUUGAGAGGAACUGCAGCAAAGAGCAGUGUUUCUAACAUAUCAUACUAUCAAAAAGAAUAUCUUCAUGAUGUUUCCAAUUGAUAGUGCCCAGAAAAAUUGGAGUAAGAAACUAGGAAUAUGUUCUCAAUACUAUUUUAGUACAACCACUCACACAAAAAAAAAUCAGGACUUCUAAUCUGCCAGCAAGUUUCAUCUUGCUAACAGAUAAGUAACAUUUUAGGCAAUUUGGUUUGCAUUUGAUGAGUGCCCAGCAAGUUUCAUCUUGCUAACAGAUAAGUAACAUUUUAGGCAAUUUGGUUUGCAUUUGAUGAGUGCCGUCAGACUGAAAGUAAUGCACAUGCUACUUAUUUUGCAGUUUGCACCAUGCAUAUGAAUGUAAAUCUAAAUUAAGUUUUUUAAGCGAGGAAUUAAGAUUAUUUUCAUGUGCAGUAGAUUAUCUGAUUGUGCAUCCUCAUGAUGAAUAACUCCGCCUAUGUUGUCUCAACAUAGCCGAUCCCAAGCACGGAUAAAGGAGGAGGGUUGUGAUAGGCUUCGCGAGCCAACGUAAAAACUCAGCCAAUCUUAUGAAGAUGAAACCAAAAAGAUUUUUGUUGGGCGUAACCCUCUCAGCGACGCGUCACAUCAGAACCCGGGUGUGGUGUCAAAUGGGCAAGGGCCGGGCCGUCACCCCCUUGGUGGCGUGCCGUAUCUUGUCUGGAUACGGUGGCAAGUGGGCGAGGAUCGGGUCGUCGCAUCCUUAGUGGCGCACUACAUCGGUGCCCGGAUGUAUUGGAAAAUGAGGAAGGGUCUUCGCAUUUGACUCGACGAGUGCGAAGGUUAAGGAAGCUAGCCGAACCUAGGAGGAUUCACUUAGGUUGCUGGAACGUAGGGUCUCUAACAGGGAAGCUUUGGGAGCUAGUUGAUGCAACGGUGAGGAGAGGUGUUGAUAUCCUUUGCGUCCAAGAAACCAAAUGGAGGGGACAGAAGGCGGAGGAGGAUACCGGCUUCAAGUUGUGGUACACGGGGAUGGCUGCAAAGAGAAAUGGCAUAGGCAUCUUGAUCAACAAGAGCCUCAAUUAUGGAUUGGUAGACGUCAAGAGACGUGGGAACCGGAUUAUCCUGGUCAAGCUGGUAGUCGGGGACUUAGUUCUCAAUGUUAUCAGCGCGUAUGCCCCGCAAGUAGGCCACAAUGAGAACACCAAGAGGGAGUACAUCUAACACAGGUUUUGAAGGGGUGCAUGGGGGCUUUGGCUAUGGCAUCAGGAAUCAAGGAGAAUAUGUCUUAAGCUUUGCUCUAGCCUACGACAUGAUUGUAGCUAACACCCUCUUUAGAAAGGGAGAAUUACAUCUGGUGGCUGUUAGUAGUGGCCAACACUCUAGCCAGAUUGAUUUCAUCCUCUCGAGAAGAGAAGAUAGGCGUGCGUGCCUAGAUUGUAAGGUGAUACCUGGAGAGAGUGUUGUACCUCAGCAUAAGCUGGUGGUUGCUGACUUUCGUUUUCGGAUUUGUGUCCAGCGGGAUAAGUGUGCCAAAGUCGCUAGAACGAAGUGGUGGAAACUCAAGGGAGAGGUAGCUCAGGCAUUCAAGGAGAGGGUCAUUAAGGAGGGCCCUUGGGAGGAAGGAGGGGAUGCGGAAAUGUGUGGAUGAAGAUGGCGACUUGCAUUCGUAAAGUGGCCUCGGAGGAGUUUGGAGUGUCCAGGGCAAGGAGAAGCGAAGAUAAGAAUACCUGGUGGUGGAAUGAUGAUGUCCAGAAGGCGAUUAAAGAGAAGAAAGAUUGUUUCAGACACCUAUACCUGGAUAGGAGUGCAGACAACAUAGAGAAGUACUACAAGAUGGUGAAGAAGGCCGCAAAACGAGCUGUCAGUGAAGCAAGGGGUCGGGCGUAUGAGGACCUCUACCAACGGUUAGGCACGAAGGAAGGCGAAGGGACAUCUAUAAGAUGGCCAAGAUUCGAGAGAGGAAGAUGAGGGAUAUUGGCCAAGUCAAAUGUGUCAAGGACGGUCAGACCAACUCCUGGUGAAGGACGAGGAGAUUAAGCAUAGAUGGCGGGAGUACUUCGACAAGCUGUUCAAUGGGGAGAAUGAGAGUUCUACCAUUGAACUGGACGACUCCUUUGAUCAGACCAGCAUGCGUUUUGUGCGGCAAAUCCAGGAGUCUGAGGUCAAGGAGGCUUUAAAAAGGAUGAAAGGAGGCAAGGAGAUGGGCCCUGAUUGUAUCCCCAUUGAGGUGUGGAAAGGCCUCGGGAACAUAGCGAUAGUAUAGGUAACCAAGCUUUUCAACCUCAUUUUUCGGGCAAACAAGAUGCCAGAAGAAUGGAAACGGAGUAUAUUAGUACCAAUCUUCAAGAACAAGGGGGGUGUUCAGAGUUGUACUAAUUACCGUGGAAUUAAGCUGAUGAGCCAUACAAUGAAGCUAUGGGAGAGAGUCAUUGAGCACUGCUUAAGAAGAAUGACAAGCGUGAUCAAAAAUCAGUUUGGUUUCAUGCCUGGGAGGUUGACCAUGGAAGCCAUUUUCUUGGUACGACAACUUAUGGAGAGAGACAGGGAGCACACGAAGGACUUGCUUAUGGUGUUCAUUGACUUGGAGAAGGCCUGUGAUAAGAUACCGUGGAAUGUCAUGUGGUGGGCCUUGGAGAAACACAAAGUCCCAGCAAAGUACAUUACCCUCAUCAAGGACAUGUACGAUAAUGUUGUGACAAGUGUUCGAACAAGUGAUGUCAACACCGAUGACUUCUUGAUUAAGAUAGGACUGUAUCAGGGGGUCAUCUUUGAGCCCUUAUCUUUUUGCGUUGGUGAUGGAUGAGGUGACAAGGGAUAUACAAGGAGAUGUCCCAUGGUGUAUGCUCUUUGCGGAUGAUGUGGUGCUAGUUGAUGAUAGUCGGACGGGGGUAAAUAGGAAGUUAGAGUUAUGGAGACAAACCUUGGAAUCAAAAGGGUUAGGCUUAGUAGAACUAAAACCGAGUACAUGAUGUGCGGUUUCAGUACAACUAGGUGUGAGGAGGAGGUUAGCCUUGAUGGGCGGGUGGUGCCUCAGAAGGACACCUUUCGAUAUUUGGAGCAAUGCUGCAGGAGGAUGGGGGUAUUGAUGAAGAUGUGAACCAUCGAAUCAAAACCGGAUGGAUGAAGUGACGCCAAGCUUCUGGCAUUCUCUGUGACAAAAGAGUGCCACAAAAGCUAAAAGGCAAGUUCUAUAGGACGACGAUUCGACCCGCAAUGUUGUAUGGCGCUGAGUGUUGGCCGACUAAAGGGUGACACGUUCAACAGCUAGGUGUGGCGGAGAUGCGUAUGUUGAGAUGGAUGUGUGGCCACACGAGGAAGAAUCGAGUCCGAAAUGAUGAUAUACGAGAUAGAGUUGGGGUAGCACCAAUUGAAGACAAGCUUGUCCAACAUCGUCUGAGAUGGUUUGGGCAUAUCCAGUGCAGGCCUCCAGAAGCUCCAGUGCAUAGUGGGCGGCUAAUGCGUGCGGAGAAUGUCAAGAGAGGUCGGGGUAGACCGAAUUUGACAUGGGAGGAGUCCGUUAAGAGAGACCUGAAGGGUUGGAGUAUCACCAAAGAACUAGCUAUGGACAGGGAUGCAUGGAAGCUUGUUAUCCAUGUGCCAGAGCCAUGAGUUGGUCGCGAGAUGUUAUGGGUUUCACCACUAGCCUACCCCAACUUGUUUGUUGUUGUUAUUGUUGUUGUUGUUGUUGUUGUUGCAUAACCUGAGCCUACAAUAUCAUAAACUCAUGUAAUUUUGCUCAUAACAUCAGAAAAUGAUGUAUGAAUUUUAUUUGUUGUUUCUUUCAUUCCAUGCUUGCUGAAUCAGUUGCUUGACCAUUUUACCAACAAGCAAUUAGGCUUCAUGAGUUUUAUCUAUCGACUAUAUAUGUUGGAAGUAAUUUUGUUGGAAUUGCAACGGGUGCACCUUCAAAGAUCAUCUUCAAAAGUAUAAGCACACCGAAGAGAGUGCAGACUGCACCGAAAAGAACCUUGCAGUAUCCCAGGCUCUUGCGUCAAAAGUGCUCAGCAACGCCAAUGUCCACCUAGUUUUAAUGGAUAUGCUGGUGGCCUUUGGCAUCGAUGACGCCCCCGGCAUAUGCAGGCGACUCAGGAGCGAGACUCUGAGCACUUCAAAGCCCUGCCUGAUCACCAUCGUCGUGAAAGGGCAUACCUCGGAACCACUGGAUCUCACUGCCAAGGUGAAUUCCGAAGAUACGGUGCUUGCCCUAAACCUCCUGAACAGAGUCCGUAGAGAUCAUAGAGUGAAGGGCCACUUUCAAGUUCUGCACCUAUGGUUUCAAAUGCGCUGAGGGCUUGGAGUAACACGACACAUUCUCGUACAUUCUCACUGCAGAUAGGAUUAACAUGAGAGAUGAAACAACUCAGAAUCUGAAGAGCAAUGGAAGUCGAAUCAGCAACUAGCUGCGGCCUGUAGCUUGUUCACCACCAUCAGACAAUCUGAAACCAGAAUCAUCACCUUCGCUGGUAGCCUUCUGACAGAGCAAAAUGCAGACCUUGGUCAAAUCGCUAUUGCUUCAGCCAGUGAGCCAGGACAUCACCACCCCCACGCCCAUCAUUUGAUCAUCAAUGAAACACUGCAUCAUCAGCAUUACAGGUAACCAUCUUAACACUGACGGUGAUGGCACUCACACCUAGAGGUAGACACCGCGGAAAUAAGACGCUGUUGGAUAAUAUCAAUAUAAGCCCCCUGAUCUUAUGCACAGCCCUUCACGGAACAGGAUCGCCUUUGCUGUUCCGAGCCUCGUUGCAUGCGUCCCAUGGAAACCGACACGUAACAGCAAUAGCAGUGGAUGUUUCUUCUUUUUUACUAGAGUUGUUUCGACAGUAACAUGCUUUCGAUUAUGAGGCAAAUGAAUGGUUCAAGUCACUAUAUGUUGCGGUUCCAGGAUACUUUGAGCGCUUCGAAGCAUUGGUUUGUAGAUAUAUUACUGUUAGGCAUUCAAAUGUACCAGAUUAAGCAAGGGAAAAAUCUAUCUUGCUCCCAGGAAAAGUGUUUCGUAGAAAUGCAGCGGUUAUGGGCAUUUCAGAUUCGUGAUUUGAUCUUCAGCACGAACUGAAAGGAAUGGUUCCUUGAGAAGUUGGAACAAGUAAUUGCAGUCUUUCUUGUGUCCUGAAGAUGGUAAGCAGUUGCACUGUUGACUCAGCUAUCAUUUUUGUUUCUCUGGAGUAUCGAUCAUAUAUAUCCGGGGACCUGACGUCGCGGGCACAUCACCUUUACCUGAUGAUCUGAGAUGCCAAUUGUGCCAAGCCUAAGUGUGAAGAAUCUGCAAGACUGCAACGGUUCACUACCGCCAGCGUCGAGCGGACCCGGAGGAACUCGGCGUUGAAUGGCGGCAGAGCUCACCCCAGCAGUGGAGCUUGAUCCCAGAUCCAUGGAAGCAAGCAAAUCUUCACGGAUGUAUGCCAUCCCUUUGCAGCAAUCUAAGCUCGGGUGGAACUUGGGGGAGCAGAUACAUCAUGUUAUACGUGACCUGAGCGGUGGCUCCUGCUGCUAGAUGGUGAUAUUACGUAGUUGCAUGAGAUUACUGGAGGAGGCAAUAAAUUUCAGACGUAAAUGAACAGGCGCCAGAUUCGAGUAACCAGAAUGUUGGAUCAUGGUGAUGCUUCUUGUCACUUUAUAUCAUGACUAGAGUUGCUCUGACACCAUGUGCACUGAACCUCAGAAUUAUGCAGCAGCCGCAGCAGUUGUGUGCAUGUCAAACUAGUGGUUUGAUUUGAUUUGCAGCAAAGACUGAAGGGAAUGGGUGAGGAACUGUGGAAUAAAUAAAUUUUGCCAAGAAUUGUCAGUUUUUGAUGUGUUUCUGUGGAUCAUCGGCUGUAUAUAGAGUUUGGGAGACCUGACAUCGCCGGCACAUCGCCCAGUGUGCCAAGCUUGAAAGCAACAUUCGUCUGAGCGAGCGAGAUCUGUAUACUGUGUGGUGAUGCAGUCAGAGUCAGGUCACCAACGGCGGCGAGUGUGAACAUUUGCCUCUGUGAGCAAGCAAAGUGAGAUCCGUGUGUUGAGUCAGGAGACAGGGACCGUCCUGCUCUGACUGCUACUGCUGCUGCACUGGUGUUGUUUCUUGUCACUCCUUGGAUGUAUCCGUCGGCGGAGGCGACUGAUCAUCCAUUCACGCAUGGCUCCGCCUCCUCCUGUGUGGACACGGUGGACUAGUGAGCAGCAUCUUGUUGGCAUCGCACUAGUGCGUACUGCUCGGAGAAAAGAAAAUCAAACACAACAGGACUGGUUUCGAAUGAGCCGAGGGCUUGGAGUAACACAACGGAUACCUGUACAUUCUGAGUGCAGAUACGAUUAGCAUGAGGAAAAACAACUCUGUAUCUGAAGAGAAAUGGAAAUUGAAUCAGCAACUAGCUGCAGCCUGUAGCUUGUUCACCAGCCAAAAUCACUACUCGUCGGUAGCCUUCCGACAGAGCAAAUUGCAGACCUUGGUGAAACCGAUAUUGCUUCAGCCAGUUCUGGGUGACACCUUGAAGAGUGUGGUGAAAGCGAACCAGGACAUCACCACCCCCACGCCCAUCAUCAAGGUGGUGAUGUAACACUGCAGCAUCAAUCAACAUUACUAGUAACCAUCUUUGGCACUGACGAUGAUGGCUCACACCUAGAGGUAGGUAACAGCCAUAGCACCGGAUGUUUCUUCUUUUUGACAAGAGUUGUUUCCACAUUAACUUGGAUUAUGAGGUAAUCAGUUGUUUAAACUCACUAUAUCUUGCGGAUACUUUGAGCUCCUCUCGAAGCAUUGGUUUGUAGAUAUAUUACUGUUGGUCAUGCAAAUGCACUAAAAAACCUGUGUUGCUGCCUCCCCUGUAAAGAAAUAUAAAGGCGUUUCGAUCA
Molecule: long non-coding RNA, 23301 nt
Organism: Triticum aestivum (bread wheat)
Lineage: Eukaryota; Viridiplantae; Streptophyta; Magnoliopsida; Poales; Poaceae
Exons: 5
Source: RefSeq, a predicted model, not a curated record